UGAGUUUGGAGUUUGUUGUUUGUUGUUUGAUUAAGAAAUGGCUGAAUACAAGUCCAAAUCUGUUCUCCUCCUCUGCGGCGACUUCAUGGAAGACUGUGAGGCGAUGGUCCCAUUUCAAGCGCUUAGCGCGUAUGGAGUUUCAGUGGAUGCUGUUUGUCCGGGGAAGAAGGCUGGCGAUAUCUGUCGGACCGCCAUUCACGACUCCUUGGGUCAUCAGACUUAUUCAGAAUCUCUUGGGCACAAUUUUACACUGAAUGCAACGUUUGAUGAAAUCAAUGUCGACAAAUAUGAUGGGUUGUUGAUCCCG
Molecule: unclassified non-coding RNA, 307 nt
Filed under: Hevea brasiliensis (rubber tree)
Lineage: Eukaryota; Viridiplantae; Streptophyta; Magnoliopsida; Malpighiales; Euphorbiaceae
Source: RNAcentral